UUCAAAGAUUUUAUGUUUUUCUUCUAAUAUUACUUGAUUUUGUAGCUACAAUAUUGUCAAGUUAGUUGUAUGGGACAAGUUAGUGACUGAUAAUCUAAGUACAUGGGAAAAACUGGCCGAGGAGCGUGCUAUUGUCGUGGCAACAAUGCUACGUGCAAACCGCAUUGACCGUGGCCUGCAUACUACGGACUAUAGUAGGAUGCACUUUGACCCGAACAUCAUAGCCGCACAUAAACUGAGGCAAAGGAUCAAUAAUGAUGUGUCUGGACCAGUAUCUCCAUGAAUCAAAAGAAGAUGGAGAAUGGAGUCAUGAAGCAAAAUUGGAGAAUAGGAGAAUGUGUUGCAUAAGCUAGACUGAGCUGCUUUUGGAUUGUGUUAAUCGGCUUUUGCUUAAAUUUGGGUGUAUGAGUCGUUAAAAAUCUGUUCGGUGCUUUUGUAAUUGUUGAUGUAACUGAAACUGAGUUUCACCUACAACGUGAAAUCUUAUGAUGGUGUAAUGCCAAGACAACUUCGUCUGAGAAAUCAAGUUGUUGUGUUUUCUAGGCAAAUGAGAAAUGUAACCUUCAAUGCAUGACGCAUUUGAAAAUAGUUGCGCACAUGCAUAUAACUGCUAUUUUUUAUGUGGCUAAAGCCUAACCAUAUCUUAACAAAAAUGCAGUACUACAUUGAUUUAUACUUUUGUUGUUCCAUUUCAUUUUAUGUGAUUCCGUAGCGUAGCACGGGCAUCUUACUAGUUUCAGCUAAAACUAACGCAAAGCAUGAACAGCUCUAGCCUGGUCAUCAGAAGAGGGGAAGAAACGAACAUCUCUAGCCUUGAAAGUAGUUGUGGUGAGAUAAUGCAAGAA
Hordeum vulgare subsp. vulgare (domesticated barley) is the source of this 845-nucleotide long non-coding RNA. RefSeq lists it as uncharacterized. NCBI's taxonomy places the organism in Eukaryota, Viridiplantae, Streptophyta, Magnoliopsida, Poales, Poaceae. The transcript is spliced from 3 exons. The record is from RefSeq and is a predicted model, not a curated record.